GGAAGGGCGAAUUGAAAAAUUACUUGGUCUUUUUGACCACAUGGGUAAUUCUGUUGAGAGCAGUUGUGCAGUUCUAGAGAGCUUGGGAACAAUGGAUGUAGGGACACAUAGAUAACAGAGUAAAGAAAGAGGAAGGACGAGGAGGAGGAGGAGAGGAAGCAGAAGAAAAGAUAAGAAGAAUAAGUCUGAAAGAGUGCAGGAGUGCCAGGAAGGCUUUCUCAAGAGAUGUAGAAGAGAGCAAAUAACGAAGCGCAGUAAGAAAGCUAGAAGUACUGACAGAAAGAGGAAAAGGAAUAAUGUCAACAACGAAUGGUUGAAGAUGUGAGAGGACUGGAGCCUCUUUAGCUAAAGGUGUAGGAGGCCAUGUGGCAAGAUUGCAGGCGGCCUCAAGGAUCUACAUGGUGCCAUAACCACAUUCAUUUGCAAGAGGACUCUGAGCUCCAAAUGAGAACCCAGACUAGCUGACACAAUUUUAGCCUUAUGAGAUCUUGAACAGGGAUCGAACUUGGGACCUUGCACUUGUGAAGCAGGCAGCAGCACCACUGAGCUAAAUCCCUGUCCCCUGAGACAUUAAAGAUUCUUUUGUUGUUCUUUUUGUCCUUAUAGGAUACCCACUAGGAACGUAUAGUUAAAUUACAAUGUUUAAUGUCAGUUGGAAUAAUCCCUUUCUGUAUGGUUAUGCUAAUAAUGAGAUACCCAAUUAGACUCACUUGUUUAUUUUCAUUUUUAGAGAUUGCUUUUAAAAUACCAGCUUAUUUUUAUUUUUUAUGGGAUUGGGAAUUGAAUUUAGUGCUCCAUGCAUAGUAGGUGAGGAGUGGUCAGAAGGGUUUUGGAAUGCCUAAGAAAUACUUUCUCUAUUCAUUGGACGAAUCAGAAGGCCAAAUUGAAAGAAAACCUUUGGAACUCCUCCCCCUACUUAAAAGGAGCCAAUCACAACGCCUAUGGGAAAGUAGAAUCAAAGGCAAAGUGGAAGAUUAGAGGGGGGGUGACAUCAUGUCCCUGGCAACCUAGAGGGAUGUUUUGGAAUUCUAAAUGAGUUGGUUGGCUAACAAGAGACUAUAGGGUCAACAAAAGUGAGGGAUUUAAAAAAGAUUCUAGCAGGAUAAAAUGAGGUUAGCGAGUACACAAAUACGAGGCUUACAGUUGACAGGAAGGGCAAGAUGGCUGUGUAGGGAAAGUUGGGGGACAGGCAGGGCAAGGUAGUGUCUCUCAGUGAGGUUUCUGGCAAAUAAAGAGUUAAAACCCUGCUAGAGAGAGCAGCUCAGCAAAACAAAGAGCUGAUCAGACCCUGGCUU
Molecule: long non-coding RNA, 1295 nt
Filed under: Heterocephalus glaber (naked mole-rat)
Lineage: Eukaryota; Metazoa; Chordata; Mammalia; Rodentia; Bathyergidae
Description: lncRNA (ENSHGLG00100037930.1)
Source: RNAcentral